GACGAACGCGGCGGCGUGCCUAAUACAUGCAAGUAGAACGCCGAAGAGAGGAGCUUGCUCUUCUUGGAUGAGUUGCGAACGGGUGAGUAACGCGUAGGUAACCUGCCUGGUAGCGGGGGAUAACUAUUGGAAACGAUAGCUAAUACCGCAUGAUAUUAAUUAUCGCAUGAUAAUUAAUUGAAAGAUGCAAUUGCAUCACUACCAGAUGGACCUGCGUUGUAUUAGCUAGUUGGUGAGGUAACGGCUCACCAAGGCGACGAUACAUAGCCGACCUGAGAGGGUGAUCGGCCACACUGGGACUGAGACACGGCCCAGACUCCUACGGGAGGCAGCAGUAGGGGAUCUUCGGCAAUGGGGGGAACCCUGACCGAGCAACGCCGCGUGAGUGAAGAAGGUUUUCGGAUCGUAAAGCUCUGUUGUAAGAGAAGAACGGGUGUGAGAGUGGAAAGUUUCACAACU
Molecule: ribosomal RNA, 459 nt
Filed under: Streptococcus sanguinis
Lineage: Bacteria; Bacillati; Bacillota; Bacilli; Lactobacillales; Streptococcaceae
Description: bacterial SSU rRNA
Rfam family: Bacterial small subunit ribosomal RNA
Source: RNAcentral